GACGGAGGGUGCAAACGUUGUUCGGAAUCACUGGGCGUAAAGGGUGCGCAGGUGGUUGUGUGUGUCAGAUGUGAAAUCCCGGAGCUUAACUCCGGAACUGCGUCUGAAACUGCACGACUAGAGCAUUGGAGAGGGUAGUGGAAUUCACGGUGUAGCAGUGAAAUGCGUAGAUAUCGUGAGGAACACCAGAGGCGAAGGCGACUACCUGGACAAUUGCUGACACUCAGGCACGAAAGCAUGGGGAGCAAAAGGG
Molecule: ribosomal RNA, 253 nt
Filed under: uncultured bacterium
Lineage: Bacteria
Description: partial 16S ribosomal RNA
Rfam family: Bacterial small subunit ribosomal RNA
Source: RNAcentral